CGGACGGGUGAGUAACACGUGGGUAACCUGCCUGUAAGACUGGGAUAACUCCGGGAAACCGGGGCUAAUACCGGAUGCUUGUUUGAACCGCAUGGUUCAAACAUAAAAGGUGGCUUCGGCUACCACUUACAGAUGGACCCGCGGCGCAUUAGCUAGUUGGUGAGGUAAUGGCUCACCAAGGCGACGAUGCGUAGCCGACCUGAGAGGGUGAUCGGCCACACUGGGACUGAGACACGGCCCAGACUCCUACGGGAGGCAGCAGUAGGGAAUCUUCCGCAAUGGACGAAAGUCUGACGGAGCAACGCCGCGUGAGUGAUGAAGGUUUUCGGAUCGUAAAGCUCUGUUGUUAGGGAAGAACAAGUACCGUUCGAAUAGGGCGGUACCUUGACGGUACCUAACCAGAAAGCCACGGCUAACUACGUGCCAGCAGCCGCGGUAAUACGUAGGUGGCAAGCGUUGUCCGGAAUUAUUGGGCGUAAAGGGCUCGCAGG
This 491-nucleotide ribosomal RNA is filed under the name Bacillus velezensis. RNAcentral describes it as "bacterial SSU rRNA". It matches the Rfam family "Bacterial small subunit ribosomal RNA", at positions 99 to 575 of the family's 1533-position model. The record is from RNAcentral. Lineage: Bacteria; Bacillati; Bacillota; Bacilli; Caryophanales; Bacillaceae.